GAUGAACGCUGGCGGCGUGCCUAAUACAUGCAAGUCGAGCGAACAGACGAGGAGCUUGCUCCUCUGACGUUAGCGGCGGGCGGGUGAGUAACACGUGGAUAACCUACCUAUAAGACUGGGAUAACUUCGGGAAACCGGAGCUAAUACCGGAUAAUAUAUUGAACCGCAUGGUUCAUUAGUGAAAGACGGUUUUGCUGUCACUUAUAGAUGGAUCCGCGCCGCAUUAGCUAGUUGGUAAGGUAACGGCUUACCAAGGCAACGAUGCGUAGCCGACCUGAGAGGGUGAUCGGCCACACUGGAACUGAGACACGGUCCAGACUCCUACGGGAGGCAGCAGUAGGGAAUCUUCCGCAAUGGGCGAAAGCCUGACGGAGCAACGCCGCGUGAGUGAUGAAGGUCUUCGGAUCGUAAAACUCUGUUAUUAGGGAAGAACAAAUGUGUAAGUAACUAUGCACGUCUUGACGGUACCUAAUCAGAAAGCCACGGCUAACUACGUG
Molecule: ribosomal RNA, 497 nt
Filed under: uncultured bacterium
Lineage: Bacteria
Description: partial 16S ribosomal RNA
Rfam family: Bacterial small subunit ribosomal RNA
Source: RNAcentral